RNAcentral lists this ribosomal RNA (1482 nucleotides) under uncultured bacterium. RNAcentral describes it as "16S ribosomal RNA". It matches the Rfam family "Bacterial small subunit ribosomal RNA". The record is from RNAcentral.
GGCUCAGGAUGAACGCUAGCGGCAGGCUUAACACAUGCAAGUCGAGGGGCAGCGGGGAGGAAGCUUGCUUUCUCCGCCGGCGACCGGCGCACGGGUGAGUAACACGUAUGCAACCUGCCCCUGUCAGGGGGACAACCCGCCGAAAGGCGGGCUAAACCCGCGUACAUGCCACCGGGGCAUCCCGGAGGCAGGAAAGGCUUCGGCCGGACAGGGAUGGGCAUGCGGCGCAUUAGGCAGUAGGCGGGGUAACGGCCCACCUAACCGACGAUGCGUAGGGGUUCUGAGAGGAAGGUCCCCCACACUGGUACUGAGACACGGACCAGACUCCUACGGGAGGCAGCAGUGAGGAAUAUUGGUCAAUGGUCGGGAGACUGAACCAGCCAAGCCGCGUGAGGGAGGAAGGUACAGAGUAUCGUAAACCUCUUUUGUCAGGGAACAAAGACUGGGACGCGUCCCCGGAUGAGUGUACCUGAAGAAAAAGCAUCGGCUAACUCCGUGCCAGCAGCCGCGGUAAUACGGAGGAUGCGAGCGUUAUCCGGAUUUAUUGGGUUUAAAGGGUGCGCAGGCGGUCUGUUAAGUCAGCGGUCAAAGCCCGGGGCUCAACCCCGGCCCGCCGUUGAAACUGGCAGUCUCGAGUUGGAGAGAAGUAUGCGGAAUGCGCGGUGUAGCGGUGAAAUGCAUAGAUAUCGCGCAGAACUCCGAUUGCGAAGGCAGCAUGCCGGCUCCACACUGACGCUGAGGCACGAAAGCGUGGGUAUCGAACAGGAUUAGAUACCCUGGUAGUCCACGCAGUAAACGAUGAAUGCUGGCUGUCCGGGGGGACUGACCCCUGGGUGGCGAAGCGAAAGCGAUAAGCAUUCCACCUGGGGAGUACGCCGGCAACGGUGAAACUCAAAGGAAUUGACGGGGGCCCGCACAAGCGGAGGAACAUGUGGUUUAAUUCGAUGAUACGCGAGGAACCUUACCCGGGCUCAAACGGGGAGUGGCGCAGGCAGAGACGCCUGUUUCCCACGGGACACUCCCCGAGGUGCUGCAUGGUUGUCGUCAGCUCGUGCCGUGAGGUGUCGGCUUAAGUGCCAUAACGAGCGCAACCCCCGCGUGCAGUUGCUAACAGUCAACGCUGAGGACUCUGCACGGACUGCCGGCGCAAGCCGCGAGGAAGGCGGGGAUGACGUCAAAUCAGCACGGCCCUUACGUCCGGGGCGACACACGUGUUACAAUGGGUGGUACAGCGGGAAGCCAGGCGGCGACGCCGAGCGGAACCCGAAAUCCACUCUCAGUUCGGAUCGGAGUCUGCAACCCGACUCCGUGAAGCUGGAUUCGCUAGUAAUCGCGCAUCAGCCAUGGCGCGGUGAAUACGUUCCCGGGCCUUGUACACACCGCCCGUCAAGCCAUGGGAGCCGAGGGCGCUUGAAGUGCGUCGCCGCGAGGCGCGCCCUAGAGCGAAAUCGGUGACUGGGGCUAAGUCGUAACAAGGUAACC